This 451-nucleotide ribosomal RNA is filed under the name uncultured bacterium. Its description in RNAcentral is "bacterial SSU rRNA". It matches the Rfam family "Bacterial small subunit ribosomal RNA", at positions 954 to 1403 of the family's 1533-position model. The record is from RNAcentral.
GCACAACGCGAAGAACCUUACCAGGCCUUGACAUGCAGAGAACUUUCCAGAGAUGGAUAGGUGCUUCGGGAACUCUGACACAGGUGCUGCAUGGCUGUCGUCAGCUCGUGUCGUGAGAUGUUGGGUUAAGUCCCGUAACGAGCGCAACCUUGUCCUAGUUACCAGCACGUUAUGGUGGGCACGUCUAAGGAGACUGCCGGUGACAAACCGGAGGAACGGUGGGGAUGGACGUCAAGGUCAGUCAUGGCCCUUACGGCCUGGGACUACACACGUGCUACGAUGGUCGGUACAGAGGGUUGCCAAGCCGCGAGGUGGAGCUAAUCUCACAAAACCGAUCGUAGUCCGGAUCGCAGUCUGCAACUCGACUGCGUGAAGUCGGAAUCGCUAGUAAUCGCGAAUCAGAAUGUCGCGGUGAAUACGUUCCCGGGUCUUGUACACACCGAGUCGUGGG